Molecule: ribosomal RNA, 492 nt
Filed under: uncultured bacterium
Lineage: Bacteria
Description: bacterial SSU rRNA
Rfam family: Bacterial small subunit ribosomal RNA
Source: RNAcentral
AGAGUUGAUCAUGGCUCAGGACGAACGCUGGCGGCGUGCCUAACACAUGCAAGUCGAGCGAGGAGAUCCUUCGGGAUGAUCCUAGCGGCGGACGGGUGAGUAACACGUGGGCAACCUGCCUCAUAGAGAGGAAUAGCCUUCCGAAAGGGAGAUUAAUACCUCAUAACAUUGCAGUUUCGCAUGGAACAGCAAUUAAAGGAGUAAUCCGCUAUGAGAUGGGCCCGCGGCGCAUUAGCUAGUUGGUGAGGUAACGGCUCACCAAGGCGACGAUGCGUAGCCGACCUGAGAGGGUGAUCGGCCACAUUGGGACUGAGACACGGCCCAGACUCCUACGGGAGGCAGCAGUGGGGAAUAUUGCACAAUGGGGGAAACCCUGAUGCCAGCAACGCCGCGUGAGUGAUGACGGCCUUCGGGUUGUAAAGCUCUGUCUUCAGGGACGAUAAUGACGGUACCUGAGGAGGAAGCCACGGCUAACUACGUGCCAGCCGCCGC